CAGUAGCCACGGGAAUACGAAGGGGGCUAGCGUUGUUCGGAAUCACUGGGCGUAAAGGGUGCGUAGGCGGGAUCUUAAGUCAGGGGUGAAAUCCCGAGGCUCAACCUCGGAACUGCCUUUGAUACUGGGGUCCUUGAGUCCGGAAGAGGUGAGUGGAACUGCGAGUGUAGAGGUGAAAUUCGUAGAUAUUCGCAAGAACACCGGUGGCGAAGGCGGCUCACUGGUCCGGAACUGACGCUGAGGCACGACAGCGUGGGGAGCAAACAGGAUUAGAUACCCCAGUAGUCCCUGUCUCUUAUAC
This 301-nucleotide ribosomal RNA is filed under the name uncultured bacterium. RNAcentral's name for it is "partial 16S ribosomal RNA". It matches the Rfam family "Bacterial small subunit ribosomal RNA", at positions 509 to 807 of the family's 1533-position model. The record is from RNAcentral.